UACGUAGGGUGCGAGCGUUAAUCGGAAUUACUGGGCGUAAAGUGUGCGCAGGCGGCAGAGCAAGUCGAGUGUGAAAGCCCCGGGCUUAACUUGGGAAUUGCGCUCGAAACUACUUUGCUGGAGUGUGGCAGAGGAAGGUGGAAUUCCACGUGUAGCGGUGAAAUGCGCAGAUAUCAGGAGGAACACCGGUGGCGAAGGCGGGUCUCUGGGCCGUAACUGACGCUGAGGAGCGAAAGCAUGGGGAGCGAACAGG
This 253-nucleotide ribosomal RNA is filed under the name uncultured bacterium. RNAcentral describes it as "partial 16S ribosomal RNA". It matches the Rfam family "Bacterial small subunit ribosomal RNA", at positions 524 to 776 of the family's 1533-position model. The record is from RNAcentral.